This is a long non-coding RNA of Physcomitrium patens, 1019 nucleotides long. RefSeq lists it as uncharacterized. NCBI's taxonomy places the organism in Eukaryota, Viridiplantae, Streptophyta, Bryopsida, Funariales, Funariaceae. The record is from RefSeq and is a predicted model, not a curated record.
UGAUGCUUUGCGACAGCUACUAUGUGCUACUAUUAAAAUGAUUUCAACAGCGUUGCUAUCUCAUUGUGAGGUCAUUGACAGAGGAUCCUUCUGCUUGCCUAUUUCAAUUUGCAUCGCUUUCGUAACGGGCAAGCCGAUACAAUCUACUUCGAGCGGCAGUGCAAUCUGCUCAGUGAGGCUAUGUGAUCAACGUCUCAGUCCGAAGACAUUGAUUUACAUUCAAUCUUAGUCGGAAGCUACGCAAUUUGUAUUUUCGACAUUGAAUUUGAAUGUUCACUGCAGUAGAACUGGUCCGGGAUCGCCUUCUUGGAUGUCCAACAAGGUACAGCAGUGGAAUUCUUCACAAUGACCUCGACUGUUCACAACAGUGGAAAUGAUGCCGGAGUGCAUUGUUCACUGUCAACGGCAAUUGAAUGAGUGUUGAAAUGCAAACUUGCAGUAGGAAACUGAAGCGUGUAAGUUACCUGCAUCAAGGGUCCACAUAGCACAUGCCACCAGCUGCAGUUUGUGCAUGAGGAGUUGAAGCACAUCACCAAGGGCACAGUACAAAAUGUAAACAGAGUGCAGUGUGCAUUUUACUAUGUGGGUUCAUUCUCUUAAUUCCAGAGCAGAGAUAAAAGUAAAUUAUAGGACUACACACAUCUUUAGGGAACCUUUGGAUGCAGCUGGGAGCUGGGGGAUAACUCUGCUACUGUCCAAGGCUGCAGACAAGUUUGCUGUGGCUUGCAGUUAGAGAGAAGGAAUGAAUUCACAUUCAUAUUUUAAGUAUCUACAGUAUACUUUGAAACAUCAUGUGCUUGCCUUUUGUCUCACAUGCAAGGACAUCCAUCCAAUGCACAAGAAUUGUAAAAGAUCCCUUAUCUUUUGCCCUCCAAAAUAGUAUCCAUAGUGUGAUUUGUUCACUUGCAUAUUACUUUUAGUAUGCUAAAGAUGCUAUCUUUUGAUCAACAAAGAGCAUGUUAUCUAAAUGUUGGAUCAGUUCUUGCAUUAAAUAAGUUAUGGUUUGAGAUUGUUUAGUU